Molecule: ribosomal RNA, 545 nt
Filed under: Vreelandella aquamarina
Lineage: Bacteria; Pseudomonadati; Pseudomonadota; Gammaproteobacteria; Oceanospirillales; Halomonadaceae
Description: bacterial SSU rRNA
Rfam family: Bacterial small subunit ribosomal RNA
Source: RNAcentral
CUUGCUGGCAUGCUGACGAGCGGCGGACGGGUGAGUAAUGCAUAGGAAUCUGCCCGAUAGUGGGGGAUAACCUGGGGAAACCCAGGCUAAUACCGCAUACGUCCUACGGGAGAAAGGGGGCUCCGGCUCCCGCUAUGGGAUGAGCCUAUGUCGGAUUAGCUAGUUGGUGAGGUAACGGCUCACCAAGGCCACGAUCCGUAGCUGGUCUGAGAGGAUGAUCAGCCACAUCGGGACUGAGACACGGCCCGAACUCCUACGGGAGGCAGCAGUGGGGAAUAUUGGACAAUGGGGGCAACCCUGAUCCAGCCAUGCCGCGUGUGUGAAGAAGGCCCUCGGGUUGUAAAGCACUUUCAGCGAGGAAGAACGCCUGGCGGUUAAUACCCGCUAGGAAAGACAUCACUCGCAGAAGAAGCACCGGCUAACUCCGUGCCAGCAGCCGCGGUAAUACGGAGGGUGCAAGCGUUAAUCGGAAUUACUGGGCGUAAAGCGCGCGUAGGUGGCUUGAUAAGCCGGUUGUGAAAGCCCCGGGCUCAACCUGGGAACGG